GACGAACGCUGGCGGCGUGCUUAACACGUGCAAGUCGAACGGAAAGGCCCUGCUUUUGUGGGGUGCUCGAGUGGCGAACGGGUGAGUAUCACGUGAGUAACCUGCCCUUGACUUUGGGAUAACUUCAGGAAACUGGGGCUAAUACCGGAUAGGAGCUCCUGCUGCAUGGUGGGGGUUGGAAAGUUUCGGCGGUUGGGGAUGGACUCGCGGCUUAUCAGCUUGUUGGUGGGGUAGUGGCUUACCAAGGCUUUGACGGGUAGCCGGCCUGAGAGGGUGACCGGCCACAUUGGGACUGAGAUACGGCCCAGACUCCUACGGGAGGCAGCAGUGGGGAAUAUUGCACAAUGGGCGGAAGCCUGAUGCAGCAACGCCGCGUGCGGGAUGACGGCCUUCGGGUUGUAAACCGCUUUCGCCUGUGACGAAGCGUGAGUGACGGUAAUGGGUAAAGAAGCACCGGCUAACUACGUG
This 468-nucleotide ribosomal RNA is filed under the name uncultured bacterium. Its description in RNAcentral is "partial 16S ribosomal RNA". It matches the Rfam family "Bacterial small subunit ribosomal RNA", at positions 28 to 507 of the family's 1533-position model. The record is from RNAcentral.